GGCGAACGCUGGCGGCGUGCUUAACACAUGCAAGUCGAACGGUGAAGCGCCUUCCUUUUUGGUGGGUGUGGAUGAGUGGCGAACGGGUGAGUAACACGUGAGUAACCUGCCCCCUUCUUCUGGAUAACCGCAUGAAAGUGUGGCUAAUACGGGAUAUUCUGGGUCUGUCGCAUGAUGGGUCUGGGAAAGAUAUUGUUUCGGUGGGGGAUGGGCUCGCGGCCUAUCAGCUUGUUGGUGGGGUGAUGGCCUACCAAGGCGGUGACGGGUAGCCGGCCUGAGAGGGUGGACGGUCACACUGGGACUGAGACACGGCCCAGACUCCUACGGGAGGCAGCAGUGGGGAAUAUUGCACAAUGGGCGCAAGCCUGAUGCAGCGACGCCGCGUGAGGGAUGGAGGCCUUCGGGUUGUGAACCUCUUUCGCCAGUGAAGCAGGCCUGCCUCGUUUGUGGGUGGGUUGACGGUAGCUGGACAAGAAGCGCCGGCUAACUACGUG
Molecule: ribosomal RNA, 494 nt
Filed under: uncultured bacterium
Lineage: Bacteria
Description: partial 16S ribosomal RNA
Rfam family: Bacterial small subunit ribosomal RNA
Source: RNAcentral